Molecule: ribosomal RNA, 476 nt
Filed under: Triticum aestivum (bread wheat)
Lineage: Eukaryota; Viridiplantae; Streptophyta; Magnoliopsida; Poales; Poaceae
Description: partial small subunit ribosomal RNA
Source: RNAcentral
AUUCGGCCAGCCUCUCGCCCUCCUCUGCCCUAGCUCUCUCCAUCCUCCUCCGAUACACCCAUAUGGCACCGUUCACGCGCCCAGCCCCACAAACCACCGACUCCCCUAGAGUUACACCCGGAAGCUACGUCCCCCAGAGGGGCCUGGUGCUGAAGCGGGUGCUCAAAAGCCUCCUCUCGUGGCUGCCGCGCCGCCGCCGCCGCCACCGGGCCGGGCGCCCCCGUCACGGCAAGGGCGGCGCCGCGCCGCCGGGCCGUCGUGGCACGUACUAACCAUCAACCACCACCUCUCCUCAAGUGGAGUGUAUCCGUCAAUAUAUUCUGCAGGUCAGGUCAAGUCGUACACGUCAAGCCCGGGCCGGCGUCACAACCGGCGACGACCGAGACUAGUCAGCGAGUCAAGCUAUCGGGGGUGCUCAGGAUGGUGGCAGAAAACCAAGUGUUGGAUCCGGCCUCCAGUCGUCAGUCAACUUAAUA